This 447-nucleotide ribosomal RNA is filed under the name uncultured bacterium. Its description in RNAcentral is "bacterial SSU rRNA". It matches the Rfam family "Bacterial small subunit ribosomal RNA", at positions 355 to 825 of the family's 1533-position model. The record is from RNAcentral.
UCGGGAAUUUUGGGCAAUGGGGGAAACCCUGACCCAGCAACGCCGCGUGAAGGAUGAAGUAUUUCGGUAUGUAAACUUCGAAAGAAUAGGAAGAAUAAAUGACGGUACUAUUUAUAAGGUCCGGCUAACUACGUGCCAGCAGCCGCGGUAAUACGUAGGGACCAAGCGUUGUUCGGAUUUACUGGGCGUAAAGGGCGCGUAGGCGGCAUGACAAGUCACUUGUGAAAUCUCUGGGCUUAACCCAGAACGGCCAAGUGAUACUGUCGCGCUAGAGUGCAGAAGGGGCAAUCGGAAUUCUUGGUGUAGCGGUGAAAUGCGUAGAUAUCAAGAGGAACACCUGAGGUGAAGACGGGUUGCUGGGCUGACACUGACGCUGAGGCACGAAAGUGCGGGGAUCAAACAGGAUUAGAUACCCCUGUAGUCCCUGAGCGGGCUGGCAAGGCGCAU